Molecule: ribosomal RNA, 404 nt
Filed under: Bacillota bacterium
Lineage: Bacteria; Bacillati; Bacillota
Description: Firmicutes bacterium partial 16S ribosomal RNA
Rfam family: Bacterial small subunit ribosomal RNA
Source: RNAcentral
UGGGGAAUAUUGGACAAUGGGCGCAAGCCUGAUCCAGCCAUGCCGCGUGAGUGAUGAAGGCCCUAGGGUUGUAAAGCUCUUUUGUGUGGGAAGAUAAUGACUGUACCACAAGAAUAAGCCCCGGCUAACUUCGUGCCAGCAGCCGCGGUAAUACGAAGGGGGCUAGCGUUGUUCGGAUUUACUGGGCGUAAAGCGCACGUAGGCGGAUCUUUAAGUCAGAGGUGAAAUCCCGGAGCUCAACUUCGGAACUGCCUUUGAUACUGGGGAUCUCGAGUUCGAGAGAGGUGAGUGGAACUGCGAGUGUAGAGGUGAAAUUCGUAGAUAUUCGCAAGAACACCAGUGGCGAAGGCGGCUCACUGGCUCGAUACUGACGCUGAGGUGCGAAAGCGUGGGGAGCAAACAGG